This is a long non-coding RNA of Heterocephalus glaber (naked mole-rat), 721 nucleotides long. RefSeq lists it as uncharacterized. Lineage: Eukaryota; Metazoa; Chordata; Mammalia; Rodentia; Bathyergidae. The record is from RefSeq and is a predicted model, not a curated record.
UCCGGUGUGUUCCUUCCGGGGUGUUCUUCACUGCAGUCAGCUCCUCAGAGCAUUUGGUGUUGGGUAUUUUGUCUCAGCAACAAAAGGUAAUUAAGAGAGUGGAGAUAUAUCACAGUAAAUGUCCCUGCAAUUGAGAAGAUUUUGUAAGACAUCUUAAAAGGGGUGAACAGAGCUGGUUGAAUCCCAAGUACAGAGCCCAUGGAUAUGGAUGGAUGACUGCAUUAUAUUGAGACCCUGUCAAUGAAGGAGAAAAUGAUCAACACAGGCAGGAUGGUUGAAAAAUUAAAGAGGGGUGAAUGAUGGAGAAUAAACUUGGCUGAUGUAGCACAUUAUGGAAUCACUGCACUCUAGGAUAUUGAAGAGAUUCAGGAGUACCUCUUUAUGUUACCUCAAGAACAAAAAGCAAGUAGGGAUACAGAGUCAGUUGGAGAUAAAAAGGGAAUUUCAAAAAUUAAUGGCAUCAGCUGAAGCUAUAUAAAGCAAGUAAAGAACUGGGAUGAAAGAUUGAAGUGGCUAGGCAAGCUUGGAAGAGCCACUGGGAAGAUUUUGAACACAGGGCUGACAACCUUGUAAUCAUACCAAAUGAUUUGUGGAGUGCUAGGAAGGGUCCAUCUGAAAUGAAAUGACUAUGAACAGAAGCCGAGAACACAGUCAACAGGUGUGACAUGAGGAAGUAGGUUGGGUUGAUGGUAAUGUGAAAUAUUAAAGGACAUAAAGAAUU